Molecule: ribosomal RNA, 496 nt
Filed under: uncultured bacterium
Lineage: Bacteria
Description: partial 16S ribosomal RNA
Rfam family: Bacterial small subunit ribosomal RNA
Source: RNAcentral
GAUGAACGCUGGCGGCGUGCCUAAUACAUGCAAGUCGAGCGAACAGAUGAGGAGCUUGCUCCUCUGACGUUAGCGGCGGACGGGUGAGUAACACGUGGAUAACCUACCUAUAGGACUGGGAUAACUUCGGGAAACCGGAGCUAAUACCGGAUAAUAUAUUGAACCGCAUGGUUCAAUAGUGAAAGACGGUUUUGCUGCCACUUAUAGAUGGAUCCGCGCCGCAUUAGCUAGUUGGUAAGGUAACGGCUUACCAAGGCAACGAUGCGUAGCCGACCUGAGAGGGGGAUCGGCCACACUGGAACUGAGACACGGUCCAGACUCCUACGGGAGGCAGCAGUAGGGAAUCUUCCGCAAUGGGCGAAAGCCUGACGGAGCAACGCCGCGUGAGUGAUGAAGGUCUUCGGAUCGUAAAACUCUGUUAUUAGGGAAGAACAAAUGUGUAAGUAACUAUGCACGUCUUGACGGUACCUAAUCAGAAAGCCACGGCUAACUACGU